GACCAUUUACACGGACGUCGCGACCCGUUCGGUGUCGGUCUGCAGGAGACGUGCGAAAGUUCGUGUGCGUUCGCCGGGGUUUCGGCUUCGGCGGGCGUUUCGCGAGUGCGCGUUCUUUUCUGGCCGACUCGCCGGACGGUAUGCGAAGCGGUGAUCGCGGCGGCCUCUCGUCAGCGCCGUCGCGUUACCGGUCUGCGACGAAUCUUCGGGCCUCUUUCCGACCCGUCUUGAAACACGGACCAAGGAGUCUAACGUGCGCGCGAGUCGCGGGGUGUCGAGCGGCUGGCGGCGUUCGCUUGCGGGCGUCGUCGGCCGUUCGUUACAAUACGAAACCCGUCUCGUUUUACGAAAGGCGCAAUGAAAGUGAAUUUACGGGGAAGAUGACGUUACCGAGUUCACGUUCCGCGCUCUCGAAGCGCGGCCGGUCGUCCGCAUUCCCAGGGCGUCCCAAUGGCCCGGCGGCGUUGCGGACUGUCGUUCCUUCGGGGGCGGCGGUCGGGCGUCGUCGAACCGGGGCGCACCUAUAGCGUGCACGUUGGUACCCGAAAGAUGGUGAACUAUGCCCGGCCAGGAUGA
This 576-nucleotide ribosomal RNA is filed under the name Pseudococcus viburni (obscure mealybug). RNAcentral describes it as "eukaryotic LSU rRNA". It matches the Rfam family "Eukaryotic large subunit ribosomal RNA", at positions 428 to 849 of the family's 3401-position model. Lineage: Eukaryota; Metazoa; Arthropoda; Insecta; Hemiptera; Pseudococcidae. The record is from RNAcentral.